UGAUCAAAGUUUCUAAUUAUCAUUAAUAAGAAAGAUAUUACAAAACAGAAAGCAGAGCGUUCUUCGCCAAAAAAUCCGCUUGGCGAUUAAGAGCCCUAAGAAUGAAAUUAAAGGUGCAGACAGUAAAAUUAGAAGAUAGAAGCAGGAUAUCGUGUAGAAUCUCAUGAAGUUCCUUCUGGUGGAUCUUCAAAUUGAGAGUUUGGACUGAAUUCAUCGAAUCUGAAGUGAAGAAGAGGUUUUGAAGUGCCGAUUCCACCGCAACUCUAACAGCGGCGAGAGUUGCCAUUGCUUCGGCUAACAAAGGUGAGCCGACAAAGGAGGUGGAGCCUGAGCCUUCCAAG
This 341-nucleotide small RNA is filed under the name Arabidopsis thaliana (thale cress). Its description in RNAcentral is "ATSL281200". The record is from RNAcentral. Lineage: Eukaryota; Viridiplantae; Streptophyta; Magnoliopsida; Brassicales; Brassicaceae.